UGACUCUAAUGGAAAAACAGUGAGCUC
This 27-nucleotide small RNA is filed under the name Bombyx mori (domestic silkworm). RNAcentral's name for it is "ovarian small RNA-31927". Lineage: Eukaryota; Metazoa; Arthropoda; Insecta; Lepidoptera; Bombycidae. The record is from RNAcentral.